Long non-coding RNA from Ipomoea nil (Japanese morning glory), 112 nucleotides. RefSeq lists it as uncharacterized. The record is from RefSeq and is a predicted model, not a curated record. The transcript has 3 exons. Lineage: Eukaryota; Viridiplantae; Streptophyta; Magnoliopsida; Solanales; Convolvulaceae.
UUUAAAAAUGGUGAUCAAUUGUUUUUUUGUGCCGGUUGUGCAAACCUCAAAGCUGACUGCCUCUUUUUAGAACUAGUCCCCGAACUAGGAUAUGUAAUUGAGUCGUGAGAUG